Long non-coding RNA from Capra hircus (goat), 501 nucleotides. RefSeq lists it as uncharacterized. The transcript has 4 exons. NCBI's taxonomy places the organism in Eukaryota, Metazoa, Chordata, Mammalia, Artiodactyla, Bovidae. The record is from RefSeq and is a predicted model, not a curated record.
CAGAGCUGGGGCUCAAAGCCAACCGACUCCUCCCUGACCCCAUCCUCUAGCCGGCUUGAAUUGCUUUCAGUUCCUCAAACUGCUCUGCUCAGUCUCCUAAUUCCCUCUGCCUUCUGAGGCACAGGGAGGAUAAGUCACUUGGUCACAGCAAGUUAGAACCACUUGGACUCAAGAGGAGACCUCCAGGCUGGAAGCUCUUACACUUCACCCCUGUGACAGAAGAUCCUGUGAUGACAAAGCAGAACAGAAAGAAACUGGAAGAUGCUACUCUGCUCCCUUUGGAGAUGGAAGAGUCAUGAGCCAGGAGAUGCAGGAAAAGGGUUCUGUGAGGUGUAAGUGCAUCUGCAACAGUCGGAACAGUGUCUGGCAGAGGAAGGAUCGCCUCAGUUUCCCUAUUUGUAAAAUGGGGCUGAUAAUAAUAGCAUCAAGCUCCAAGUGUUCUUGAGAAGAUUAAAAAACUAACCCCCAGGGCUUCCCUGGUGGUUUAGUGGUGAAGAAUCU